AUUAGAUACAAAACCAAUGCCCCUCGGGGCUCUCUGGUGAUUCAUGAUAACUCGUCGAAUCGCACGGCCUUGCGCCGGCGAUGGUUCAUUCAAAUUUCUUCCCUAUCAACUUUCGAUGUUUGGGUAGUGGCCAAACAUGGUGGCAACGGGUAACGGAGGGUUAGGGCUCGACCCCGGAGAAGGAGCCUGAGAAACGGCUACUACAUCCAAGGAAGGCAGCAGGCGCGCAAAUUACCCAAUCCCGAUACGGGGAGGUAGUGACAAUAAAUACUGAUACAGGGCUCUUUUGGGUCUUGUAAUUGGAAUGAGUACAAUUUAAAUCCCUUAACGAGGAACAAUUGGAAGGCAAGUCUGGUGCCAGCAGCCGCGGUAAUUCCAGCUCCAAUAGCGUAUAUUAAAGUUGUUGUGGUUAAAAAGCUCGUAGUUGAAUCUUGGGCCUGGCUGGCCGGUCCGCCUCACCGCGUGUACUGGUCCGGCCGGGUCUUUCACUCUGCGGAACCACAUGCCCUUCAGUGGG
RNAcentral lists this ribosomal RNA (517 nucleotides) under uncultured fungus. RNAcentral's name for it is "SSU rRNA". It matches the Rfam family "Eukaryotic small subunit ribosomal RNA", at positions 209 to 726 of the family's 1831-position model. Lineage: Eukaryota; Fungi. The record is from RNAcentral.